RNAcentral lists this ribosomal RNA (326 nucleotides) under uncultured eukaryote. RNAcentral's name for it is "partial 18S ribosomal RNA". It matches the Rfam family "Eukaryotic small subunit ribosomal RNA", at positions 1470 to 1796 of the family's 1831-position model. The record is from RNAcentral.
CCCUUAGAUGUUCUGGGCCGCACGCGCGCUACACUGAUGUAUUCAACAAGCCUAGCCUUGACCGAGAGGUCCGGGUAAUCUUUGAAACUGCAUCGUGAUGGGGCUAGAUUAUUGCAAUUAUUAAUCUUCAACGAGGAAUGCCUAGUAAGCGUGAUUCAUCAAAUCGCGUUGAUUACGUCCCUGCCCUUUGUACACACCGCCCGUCGCUCCUACCGAUUGAAUGUGUUGGUGAGGAGCUCGGAUUGGCAGCAGUUGGUGGUUCGCCACCGGCUAUUGCUGAGAAGUCCUCCAAACCGCCCCAUUUAGAGGAAGGAGAAGUCGUAACA